UACAGAGGGGGCAAGCGUUGUUCGGAAUUACUGGGCGUAAAGGGCGCGUAGGCGGCCCGCUAAGUCGAACGUGAAAUCCCCGGGCUCAACCCGGGAACUGCGUCCGAUACUGGCAGGCUUGAAUCCGGGAGAGGGAUGCGGAAUUCCAGGUGUAGCGGUGAAAUGCGUAGAUAUCUGGAGGAACACCGGUGGCGAAGGCGGCAUCCUGGACCGGUAUUGACGCUGAGGCGCGAAAGCGUGGGGAGCGAACAGG
Molecule: ribosomal RNA, 253 nt
Filed under: uncultured bacterium
Lineage: Bacteria
Description: partial 16S ribosomal RNA
Rfam family: Bacterial small subunit ribosomal RNA
Source: RNAcentral